Molecule: ribosomal RNA, 200 nt
Filed under: uncultured bacterium
Lineage: Bacteria
Description: partial 16S ribosomal RNA
Rfam family: Bacterial small subunit ribosomal RNA
Source: RNAcentral
AGAGUUUGAUCCUGGCUCAGAACGAACGCUGGCGGCGUGCCUAACACAUGCAAGUCGAGCGCGAAUGGAGCAAUCCUAGUAGAGCGGCGCACGGGUGCGUAACACGUGGAUAAUCUGCCUGGAAGCCCGGAAUAACCUGCCGAAAGGCAAGCUAAUACCGGAUAAGCCCACGGGGACUUCGGUCCUCGAGGGAAAAAGAU